GACGAACGCUGGCGGCGUGCUUAACACAUGCAAGUCGUACGGUAAGGCCCUUUCGGGGGUCCACGAGUGGCGAACGGGUGAGUAACACGUGAGUAACCUGCCCACAACUUUGGGAUAACGCUAGGAAACUGGUGCUAAUACUGGAUAUGUGCUCCUGCUGCAUGGUGGGGGUUGGAAAGCUCCGGCGGUUGUGGAUGGACUCGCGGCCUAUCAGCUUGUUGGUGGGGUAGUGGCCUACCAAGGCGGCGACGGGUAGCCGGCCUGAGAGGGUGACCGGCCACAGUGGGACUGAGAUACGGCCCAGACGCCUACGGGAGGCAGCAGUGGGGAAUAUUGCACAAUGGGCGCAAGCCUGAUGCAGCAACGCCGCGUGCGGGAUGACGGCCUUCGGGUUGUAAACCGCUUUCAGCAGGGACGAAGCUUUUUGUGACGGUACCUGCAGAAGAAGCACCGGCUAACUACGUG
Molecule: ribosomal RNA, 465 nt
Filed under: uncultured bacterium
Lineage: Bacteria
Description: partial 16S ribosomal RNA
Rfam family: Bacterial small subunit ribosomal RNA
Source: RNAcentral